RNAcentral lists this ribosomal RNA (467 nucleotides) under uncultured bacterium. Its description in RNAcentral is "SSU rRNA". It matches the Rfam family "Bacterial small subunit ribosomal RNA", at positions 26 to 518 of the family's 1533-position model. The record is from RNAcentral.
AGGACGAACGCUGGCGGCGUGCUUAACACAUGCAAGUGGAGCGACGAACCAGGGCUUGCCCUGGGGCAGAGCCGCGAACGGGUGAGUAACACGUGGGUUACCUGCCUCGAUGACCGGGACAACCCGAGGAAACUCGGGCUAAUACCGGACGUGCCCGCAAGGGGAAAGGAAGCUUCGGCCUCCGCAUCGAGAUGGGCCCGCGGCCCAUUAGCUUGUUGGUGAGGUAACGGCUCACCAAGGCUUCGAUGGGUAGCUGGUCUGAGAGGACGAUCAGCCACACUGGGACUGAGACACGGCCCAGACUCCUACGGGAGGCAGCAGUGGGGAAUCUUGCGCAAUGCGCGAAAGCGUGACGCAGCAACGCCGCGUGGGGGAAGAAGGCUUUCGGGUUGUAAACCACUGUCGAAGGGGACUAGUACUGAAGGUACCCUUGGAGGAAGCCCGGCUAACUACGUGCCAGCAGCCGC